UGUAAGCGUAUACCAAAGUUGUUGCAGUUAAAACGCUCGUAGUCGGAAUUUGGCAGUUCCGGAUGUGUGCACGUCGUGUGCGCACUUCGCGGGGAUUGCUUUUGUGGUCUUGCGUAGGAUGAGGCACUUUUAUUAGUGAACGUCCUCACGCAACCACUUUUUACUGUGAGAAAAUCAGAGUGCUCAAAGCAGGCAUUUGCCGUGAAUGUAUUAGCAUGGAAUAAUAGAAUAGGACUUGGUUCUAUUUUGUUGGUUUGUUGGGAUUGAGUAAUGAUUAAGAGGGACAGUUGGGGGCAUUUGUAUUUCGGUGCUAGAGGUGAAAUUCUUAGAUUACCGAAAGACAAACUGCUGCGAAAGCGUCUGCCAAGGAUGUUUUCAUUGA
Molecule: ribosomal RNA, 382 nt
Filed under: uncultured eukaryote
Lineage: Eukaryota
Description: partial 18S ribosomal RNA
Rfam family: Eukaryotic small subunit ribosomal RNA
Source: RNAcentral